GACGAACGCUGGCGGCGUGCCUAAUACAUGCAAGUUGAACGCUUGAUUUUCACCGAAGCUUGCUUCACCGAAAAUCAAGAGUAGCGAACGGGUGAGUAACGCGUGGGUAACCUACCUAUCAGCGGGGGAUAACUAUUGGAAACGAUAGCUAAUACCGCAUAACAAUGUUGGAUGCAUAUUCGACAUUUGAAAGUACCAACUGGUACACUGAGAGAUGGACCCGCGUUGUAUUAGCUAGUUGGUAGUGUAAUGGACUACCAAGGCGAUGAUACAUAGCCGACCUGAGAGGGUGAUCGGCCACAUUGGGACUGAGACACGGCCCAAACUCCUACGGGAGGCAGCAGUAGGGAAUCUUCGGCAAUGGACGAAAGUCUGACCGAGCAACGCCGCGUGAGUGAAGAAGGUUUUCGGAUCGUAAAACUCUGUUGUUAGAGAAGAACGUUGCAUAGAGUGGAAAAUUAUGCAAGUGACGGUAUCUAACCAGAAAGGGACGGACUAACU
This 501-nucleotide ribosomal RNA is filed under the name uncultured bacterium. Its description in RNAcentral is "bacterial SSU rRNA". It matches the Rfam family "Bacterial small subunit ribosomal RNA", at positions 28 to 502 of the family's 1533-position model. The record is from RNAcentral.